CCUACGGGUGGCAGCAGUGGGGAAUAUUGCACAAUGGGGGAAACCCUGAUCCAGCGACGCCGCGUGAGUGAAGAAGUAUUUCGGUAUGUUAAGCUCUAUCAGCAGGGAAGAAGAAAGACGGUCCCUGACUAAGAAGCCCCGGGUAACUACGUGCCGGCAGCCGCGGUAAUACGUAGGGGACAAGCGUUAUCCGGAUUUACUGGGUGUAAAGGGGACGUAGACGGCUGUGCAAGUCUGAAGGUAAAGCCCAGGGCUCAACCCUGGGAGUGCUGUGGAAACUGUGGAGCUAGAGUGCUAGAGAGGUAAGUGGAAUGCCUAGUGUAGCGGUGAAAUCCGUAGAUAUCUGGAGGAACAUCAGUGGCGAAGGCGACUAUCUGGCACAUAACUGACGCUGAGGAGCGAAAGCGUGGGUAGCAAACAGGAUUAGAUACCCGGGUAGUC
RNAcentral lists this ribosomal RNA (441 nucleotides) under uncultured bacterium. Its description in RNAcentral is "partial 16S ribosomal RNA". It matches the Rfam family "Bacterial small subunit ribosomal RNA", at positions 338 to 795 of the family's 1533-position model. The record is from RNAcentral.